Potamilus streckersoni is the source of this 70-nucleotide non-coding RNA. NCBI's taxonomy places the organism in Eukaryota, Metazoa, Mollusca, Bivalvia, Unionida, Unionidae. The record is from the annotation of a GenBank genome assembly.
UAGUGCCUAAAUGGUUAGAGUGUCUGCCUCAGAUGCAUACGGUUGUGGGUUCAAACCCCAGCCAGGUCAC